UACGAGGGGGGCGAGCGUUGUUCGGAAUUAUUGGGCGUAAAGGGUGCGUAGGCGGUUUGGUAAGUCUGAUGUGAAAUCUAUGGGCUCAACUCAUAGUCUGCAUCGGAAACUGCCGGGCUUGAGUGUGGGAGAGGUGAGUGGAACUGCGAGUGUAGAGGUGAAAUUCGUAGAUAUUCGCAAGAACACCAGUGGCGAAGGCGGCUCACUGGCCCGGUACUGACGCUGAGGUGCGAAAGCGUGGGGAGCAAACAGG
RNAcentral lists this ribosomal RNA (253 nucleotides) under uncultured bacterium. RNAcentral describes it as "partial 16S ribosomal RNA". It matches the Rfam family "Bacterial small subunit ribosomal RNA", at positions 524 to 776 of the family's 1533-position model. The record is from RNAcentral.